UACGAAGGGGGCUAGCGUUGUUCGGAAUUACUGGGCGUAAAGCGCGCGCAGGCGGUCUUCCAAGUCAGUGGUGAAAGCCCGGAGCUCAACUCCGGAACUGCCAUUGAAACUGUUAGACUUGAGGAUGAGAGAGGUGAGUGGAAUUCCCAGUGUAGAGGUGAAAAUUCGUAGAUAUUUGGGAAGAACACCGGUGGCGAAGGCGGCUCACUGGCUCAUUACUGACGCUCAGGCGCGAUAGCGUGGGGAUCAAACAGG
RNAcentral lists this ribosomal RNA (255 nucleotides) under uncultured bacterium. Its description in RNAcentral is "partial 16S ribosomal RNA". It matches the Rfam family "Bacterial small subunit ribosomal RNA", at positions 524 to 776 of the family's 1533-position model. The record is from RNAcentral.